RNAcentral lists this ribosomal RNA (406 nucleotides) under uncultured bacterium. RNAcentral describes it as "partial 16S ribosomal RNA". It matches the Rfam family "Bacterial small subunit ribosomal RNA", at positions 29 to 526 of the family's 1533-position model. The record is from RNAcentral.
AUUGAACGCUGGCGGCAGGCCUAACACAUGCAAGUCGAACGAGUGGCGGACGGGUGAGUAAUGUCUGGGAAACUGCCUGAUGGAGGGGGAUAACUACUGGAAACGGUAGCUAAUACCGCAUACCAUCAGAUGUGCCCAGAUGGGAUUAGCUAGUUGGUGGGGUAACGGCUCACGGAGGCGACGAUCCCUAGCUGGUCUGAGAGGAUGACCGAGCACGCUGGAACUGUGGCACGGUCCAGACUCCUACGAGAGGCAGCAGGGGGGAAUAUUGGAGAAUGGUGGAAGGCCUGAUGCAGCCAUGCCGCGUGUAUGAAGAAGGCCGUCGGGUUGUAAAGUACUGUCAGCGGGGAGGCGUUACCCGCAGAAGAAGCACCGGCUAACUCCGUGCCAGCAGCCGCGGUAAUUC